AAUACUUAUCAUUAAAAAGGCAAUUAAGGCCCAAGGUUUAGAGAUACAAUGGUUGAUAAUUGGGCUUUCGCAAGCCCAUUGGCCAGGGUAUUCAGCCUGUGGAAUGAAAUUAAACCGACAGAAAGAAAACGGAGAAGCAUAGGAGAAAGCUAGAGAGUCGGCAUCUGAUAGAACGCCGAAGAGAUCCAUCGUCUGUUUCCUCUGUGUGAUUGCUCUGUGGAGCACUUGAGAAUCUGUUCGAAGACAGAUGUUGGUGAAGCCUAUGGAGGCUGCGUUCAGGAGGGCUCCUCGGAUUGCUAAGGCCUCAGCCAUGCAAGGAGAGGAUACAUGUGUCUAAGGCUACAGAUUUGCGCGCAAGCUCUGAUGAUUCUUGGUCCAUGAAGAGCCAGGCCAAACCAGCCGAAUUUGAUUUCCAGGAGAUAGUAGAAUCAGGGAGAUCAAGAGGUCGAGGCUUGAUUGGCAAUUGGGUGACCCUUUUGGUCAAUGAGAUGUACCAGGCGAUCCAUGGGAGAAGGUUCCCUACAACCCCAGUUGGGGGAAGGUUCUUGGCGGAUUGCGAGGCCUGUAGGAUGGUGAUGAAAGCUGAGUCUGGUUGAAUGGUCAGGGCGAGGUCCAAGGCACCAUAGUCCAGAUCUCCUUCGCAAAAGUGCAGUGGAGGAGGAUGUGGUCUAGCGUCUCUGGUUCUCCGCAUCGACAACGCCUGGUGUUGUUGAGCAUACCUCUCCUUUGAAGAUUUUCAUAUCUAAAAUGUUUUAUUUCAAAUAUUAUACCAGAUCAAGUGGAUACACGAUAUAUAUAUAUGGUCAUUUUAUGUAUAGAUGGUCAUGUUUGUUUGCAAGGUGUUAGUGGCAAUAACCAGCAACAACGAUUAACAAUA
Brassica oleracea var. oleracea is the source of this 877-nucleotide long non-coding RNA. RefSeq lists it as uncharacterized. NCBI's taxonomy places the organism in Eukaryota, Viridiplantae, Streptophyta, Magnoliopsida, Brassicales, Brassicaceae. The record is from RefSeq and is a predicted model, not a curated record. The transcript has 2 exons.